RNAcentral lists this ribosomal RNA (253 nucleotides) under uncultured bacterium. RNAcentral's name for it is "partial 16S ribosomal RNA". It matches the Rfam family "Bacterial small subunit ribosomal RNA", at positions 524 to 776 of the family's 1533-position model. The record is from RNAcentral.
UACGUAGGGGGCAAGCGUUAUCCGGAAUUACUGGGUGUAAAGGGAGCGUAGACGGUAAUGUAAGUCUGGAGUGAAAGGCGGGGGCCCAACCCCCGGACUGCUCUGGAAACUAUGUUACUAGAGUGCAGGAGAGGUAAGCGGACUUCCUAGUGUAGCGGUGAAAUGCGUAGAUAUUAGGAGGAACACCAGUGGCGAAGGCGGCUUACUGGACUGUAACUGACGUUGAGGCUCGAAAGCGUGGGGAGCAAACAGG